GCGGUGUACCCGCGGCUAGACGGAAAGACCCCGUGAACCUUUACUACAGCUUGGCACUGAACAUUGACCCUACAUGUGUAGGAUAGGUGGGAGGCUGUGAAGCGGUGACGCCAGUUGCCGUGGAGCCAUCCUUGAAAUACCACCCUUGUAUGUUUGAUGUUCUAACGUUGCCCCCUUAUCGGGGGUGCGGACAGUGCCUGGUGGGUAGUUUGACUGGGGCGGUCUCCUCCCAAAGAGUAACGGAGGAGCACGAAGG
RNAcentral lists this ribosomal RNA (256 nucleotides) under Zobellella endophytica. Its description in RNAcentral is "partial 23S ribosomal RNA". It matches the Rfam family "Bacterial large subunit ribosomal RNA", at positions 2061 to 2316 of the family's 2925-position model. Lineage: Bacteria; Pseudomonadati; Pseudomonadota; Gammaproteobacteria; Aeromonadales; Aeromonadaceae. The record is from RNAcentral.